This 63-nucleotide transfer RNA is filed under the name Ichneumonidae sp. MT-2014. RNAcentral describes it as "tRNA-Phe". Lineage: Eukaryota; Metazoa; Arthropoda; Insecta; Hymenoptera; Ichneumonidae. The record is from RNAcentral.
AUUUAAAUAGCUUAAUUAAAGCAUAAUAUUGAAGUUAUUAAAAUGAUUUUUAAUCUUUAAAUA